UGGGGAAUUUUGCACAAUGGGGGAAACCCUGAUGCAGCGACGCCGCGUGAUUUAGAAGGCCUUCUGGUUGUAAAAAUCUUUUCUAUGGGAAGAAAAUGACAGUACCAUAGGAAUAAGGACCGGCUAAUUACGUGCCAGCAGCCGCGGUAAUACGUAAGGUCCGAGCGUUGUCCGGAAUCAUAGGGCGUAAAGGGUACGUAGGCGGGUAAGCAAGUUAGAAGUGAAAUCCUAUAGCUCAACUAUAGUAAGCUUUUAAAACUGCUCAUCUUGAGGUAUGGAAGGGAAAGUGGAAUUCCUAGUGUAGCGGUGAAAUGCGCAGAUAUUAGGAGGAAUACCGGUGGCGAAGGCGACUUUCUGGCCAUAACCUGACGCUGAGGUACGAAAGCGUGGGUAGCAAACAGG
RNAcentral lists this ribosomal RNA (402 nucleotides) under bacterium. RNAcentral describes it as "partial 16S ribosomal RNA". It matches the Rfam family "Bacterial small subunit ribosomal RNA", at positions 355 to 776 of the family's 1533-position model. The record is from RNAcentral.